RNAcentral lists this ribosomal RNA (460 nucleotides) under uncultured bacterium. Its description in RNAcentral is "partial 16S ribosomal RNA". It matches the Rfam family "Bacterial small subunit ribosomal RNA", at positions 338 to 795 of the family's 1533-position model. The record is from RNAcentral.
CCUACGGGUGGCAGCAGUGAGGAAUAUUGGUCAAUGGGCGGAAGCCUGAACCAGCCAAGUCGCGUGAGGGAAUAAGGCCCUACGGGUUGUAAACCUCUUUUGCCGGGGAGCAACGGCCGGGACGCGUGCCGCCCCGGAGAGUACCCGGAGAAAAAGCAUCGGCUAACUCCGUGCCAGCAGCCGCGGUAAUACGGAGGAUGCGAGCGUUAUCCGGAUUUAUUGGGUUUAAAGGGUGCGUAGGCGGGUUGUUAAGUCAGCGGUAAAAAUUCGGGGCUCAACCCCGUCCCGCCGUUGAAACUGGCGGCCUUGAGUGGGCGAGAAGAAGGCGGAAUGCGUGGUGUAGCGGUGAAAUGCAUAGAUAUCACGCAGAACCCCGAUUGCGAAGGCAGCAUUCCGGCGCCCUACUGACGCUGAGGCACGAAAGCGUGGGGAUCGAACAGGAUUAGAUACCCGAGUAGUC